AACGUAGGAGGCGAGCGUUAUCCGGAUUUACUGGGUGUAAAGCGCGUGCAGGCGGUUGGCUAAGUUGGGUGUGAAAGCUCCUGGCUUAACUGGGAGAGGUCGCUCAAGACUGGCCGACUGGAGAGCAGUAAGGGAAGGUGGAAUUCCGGGUGUAGUGGUGAAAUGCGUAGAUAUCCGGAGGAACACCAGUGGCGAAGGCGGCCUUCUGGACUGCUUCUGACGCUCAGACGCGAAAGCUAGGGGAGCAAACGGG
Molecule: ribosomal RNA, 253 nt
Filed under: uncultured bacterium
Lineage: Bacteria
Description: partial 16S ribosomal RNA
Rfam family: Bacterial small subunit ribosomal RNA
Source: RNAcentral